Molecule: ribosomal RNA, 467 nt
Filed under: uncultured bacterium
Lineage: Bacteria
Description: partial 16S ribosomal RNA
Rfam family: Bacterial small subunit ribosomal RNA (bases 48-467)
Source: RNAcentral
GGGGGGGGGGGGGGGGGGGGGGGGGGGGGGGGGGGGGGGGGGGGGGGCGCGGGGGGUGUGGGGGGCGCGGGUGGCGCAGGGGGGAGUAACAGGGGGGGGGCCUGCCCUUGACGGUGGGGUGACUUCCGGGGACUGGGGCUAAUACCGGGUAGGAGCUCCUGCUGCCUGGUGGGGGGUGGGAAGGUUCGGCGUGUGGGGAUGGACGCGCGGCUGCGCAGCUUGUUGGGGGGGGAGGGGCUUACCAAGGAUUGGACGGGUAGCCGGCCUGAGAGGGUGACCGGCCACAUUGGGACUGAGAUACGGCCCAGACUCCUACGGGAGGCAGCAGUGGGGAAUAUUGCACAAUGGGCGGAAGCCUGAUGCAGCAACGCCGCGUGCGGGAUGACGGCCGUCGGGUUGUAAACCGCUUUCGCCUGUGACGAAGCGUGAGUGACGGUAAUGGGUAAAGAAGCACCGGCGAACUACGU